Stegastes partitus (bicolor damselfish) is the source of this 618-nucleotide long non-coding RNA. RefSeq lists it as uncharacterized. NCBI's taxonomy places the organism in Eukaryota, Metazoa, Chordata, Actinopteri, Pomacentridae. The record is from RefSeq and is a predicted model, not a curated record. The transcript is spliced from 2 exons.
UCCUCCAGGGCCUGUCGUUCCGGGUUCGCUCGGUCAGUGUUGGAGAACAGUGGCUGCAGCAUCAGAGCGCCCCCUGCAGGAGGACUCGUGGUGAAGCCAAGAAGUGCCGUAAGGUUUACGGCAUCGAGCACCGGGAGCAGUGGUGCACGGCGUGCCGCUGGAAGAAGGCCUGCCAGCGCUUCACCGACUGAGCAGCGCCGCCUGCUGGACACUUCGUACUCUCGUUCCUCUUUUUAUUCCCACAAGUGUCGUUUUUACGGUUUGUUGUCGUCCUGAAGGACUUUUACGAACUAAUGAGGCAGCUACAGAGCAGAUCCACACCGGGCCGGACCGGACCGGCACCUGGACGGGCCGAGACCGUUAGAGGAGCAGCUGAGCUUAGCUGCUCUGGACCGUGAACCUCUACAGAACCACCGCUUCACUCUGCUGAACACGCUCAGCGCUCAGUUUAUUAGGAACGGCUGCUUAAAGCUCCACACUGUUGUAAACGGGGUGGACAAAAUAACAGAAACACCUGAUAAAGCCUCCAGCUGCAGCGAUCAAUCAGUCAGUUGGUCAAUACUAAGUUCAUCUCCAUCUGAUUUAAUUACCAAAAUAAAUAAACAGUCUAAACUCUGA